UUUAGAGAGCAUAACAUUUGGCACCAUCAUCUAAUGUGUGUUUAUUGAGCUUUCUUCGUCUUACCACCAUGUGUUGUGGUUUGCUUUAAAAAGAUCACCUUCCUGCGGUUCAAUCCAUUUGGUAUUCAGCCUUAUGGGUUGAUUUUUCACUUUUUUCCUUUUCUGCAGCAUUUCAAGCCUUGUUUACUGCAUGCGGACUGAGAAUAUUGUCUCAGUAAUGUGCAACGGCAAGUGGAUUAUGAAGGAGAAGAAGAUUUUGAAUGUGGAUGAGGUACUUUUCUUUUCCCGUCUGGUGUGAUCUAGAUUGACAGCAGAUAUGCUUCAUUCUCUUCAAUUCAUGUUAAAUUUGUCCAAUGAAUCUUUUGAAUCCAACCCUCCAUGGGAGUUCGGUAUUGUAGUUUGACAUAUUGAGAAAGCACAACGGUAGCUUCUAUAAAAUUGAGAACUUUCACAUGUCCAGUUUUUGAAAAAUACCAUUACACUAGAAGUUAAAAUAUUUAGUGCAAUUUAUCAAAUGGAAAUAAGCUCAAUUUGCUUCCUAUACUUUUUAGAGAUGUUCAAUUUAGUAUAUUUUUAACUUUUGGUUCAAUUUAGCCCUUCUACUUUUUGUUUAAGUUCAAAUUGGUCCAAUUAAUAUACAUGCACCAUUUUUAAAUGGAAAUAAAUUCAAUUUGCCCCCUGUACUUUUUAGAGAUGUCCAAUUUAGCCUAUUUUCAACUUUUGAGUCCAAUUUAGCCCUUAUACAUUUGGUUUAAGUUCAAAUUAGC
Molecule: unclassified non-coding RNA, 767 nt
Filed under: Hevea brasiliensis (rubber tree)
Lineage: Eukaryota; Viridiplantae; Streptophyta; Magnoliopsida; Malpighiales; Euphorbiaceae
Source: RNAcentral